Molecule: ribosomal RNA, 1038 nt
Filed under: Russula pectinatoides
Lineage: Eukaryota; Fungi; Basidiomycota; Agaricomycetes; Russulales; Russulaceae
Description: LSU rRNA
Rfam family: Eukaryotic large subunit ribosomal RNA
Source: RNAcentral
UAGCAUAUCAAUAAGCGGAGGAAAAGAAACUAACAAGGAUUCCCCUAGUAACUGCGAGUGAAGCGGGAAAAGCUCAAAUUUAAAAUCUGGUGGUCUUUGGCCAUCCGAGUUGUAAUUUAGAGAAGCGUCUUCCGCGCUGGACCGUGCAUAAGUCUCCUGGAAUGGAGCGUCAUAGAGGGUGAGAAUCCCGUCUUUGGCACGGACCCCAGGGCUUCUGUGAUGCGCUCUCAAAGAGUCGAGUUGUUUGGGAAUGCAGCUCAAAAUGGGUGGUGAACUCCAUCUAAAGCUAAAUAUUGGCGAGAGACCGAUAGCGAACAAGUACCGUGAGGGAAAGAUGAAAAGCACUUUGGAAAGAGAGUGAAACAGUACGUGAAAUUGUUGAAAGGGAAACGCUUGAAGUCAGUCGCGUCGACCGAGACUCAGCCUCGCCUCGGCUUGGUGUACUUCUCGGCUGACGGGUCAGCAUCAAUUUCGAUCCUUGGAUAAUGGCAAGGGAAAGGUAGCACCUUUAUAGGUGUGUUAUAGUCCUCUGUCGGAUGCAAGGGUCGGGAUUGAGGAACUCAGCACGCACCUUUUAGGUGUCGGGGCCUCGGCCUACGUUACGUGCUUAGGAUGCUGGCAUAAUGGCUUUAAACGACCCGUCUUGAAACACGGACCAAGGAGUCUAACAUGCACGCGAGUGUUCGGGUGGAAAACCCGUGCGCGUAAUGAAAGUAAAAGUUGGGACCUCUGUCGUGGAGGGCACCGACGCCCGGACCAGACCUUCUGUGACGGCUCCGCGGUAGAGCGUGUAUGUUGGGACCCGAAAGAUGGUGAACUAUGCCUGAAUAGGGUGAAGCCAGAGGAAACUCUGGUGGAGGCUCGUAGCGAUUCUGACGUGCAAAUCGAUCGUCAAAUUUGGGUAUAGGGGCGAAAGACUAAUCGAACCAUCUAGUAGCUGGUUCCUGCCGAAGUUUCCCUCAGAUAGCAGAAACUCAUGUCAGAUUUAUGUGGUAAAGCGAAUGAUUAGAGGCCUUGGGGAUGAAAACAUCCUUAACC